AAAGUCGUAACAAGGUUUCCGUAGGUGAACCUGCGGAAGGAUCAUUAAUGAAUGAACUUGAAUGGAGUUGUAGCUGGCUUCAGCAAUGGGGCAUGUGCACACUCUGUUCAUCCACCUUCACACCUCUGUGCACUUCUCAUGGGUUGGGUUGCGCCUGAAAUAUGGCAAGGCUCUUCUCAUGUGCUCACACACACUUUAAAAGUUUAUAGAAUGUAACAAACGUGCAUUAAUGCAUAUAAUACAACUUUCAGCAACGGAUCUCUUGGCUCUCGCAUCGAUGAAGAACGCAGCGAAAUGCGAUAAGUAAUGUGAAUUGCAGAAUUCAGUGAAUCAUCGAAUCUUUGAACGCACCUUGCGCUCCUUGGUAUUCCGAGGAGCAUGCCUGUUUGAGUGUCAUGGUAUUCUCAACCCUCCUGUGAUUUCUUUUUAAAGAUUGCAGCUGGGCUUGGACUUGGAGGUUUAUUGCUGGCAUCCUUUGUUGGAUGUGGGCUCCUCUGAAAAGCAUUAGCUGGAAUAUUGCCGAGCAUGAUUCAAUGUGAUAAUUGUCUACGUUGCUUCAACUUGGUGUUAAUUCUGUUCUAGCUUCUAAACGUCCUCUGGACAAUAUCUGAACAUCUGACCUCAAAUCAGGUAGGACUACCCGCUGAACUUAAGCAUAUCAAUAAGCGGAGGAAAAGAAACUAACAAGGAUUCCCCUAGUAACUGCGAGUGAAGCGGGAAAAGCUCAAAUUUAAAAUCUGGCAGCUUUGGCUGUCCGAGU
This 760-nucleotide ribosomal RNA is filed under the name Junghuhnia luteoalba. RNAcentral describes it as "eukaryotic LSU rRNA". The stretch from base 243 to 396 matches the Rfam family "5.8S ribosomal RNA". The record is from RNAcentral. Lineage: Eukaryota; Fungi; Basidiomycota; Agaricomycetes; Polyporales; Steccherinaceae.